ACUAACUGAAUUUUUAAUUCAGUGAUGGAAGGCUUCUGGGCAUAGUCAAGUACUUGCAAAGUUAGAGUGUGAUCGAGAUGGGAUUGACCACUCCAAGAGUUGGAGAAGAAUGAGUCACUGUAUUUCAGUUUAGCAAAAUCUUGGCCAGGGUAAUCCAUCAGAUGGAUUUGAUAUUUUGAAAUACAAUGUGGACAACCUGAUCAGAGUUGACAAUUGAACUCUGAGGUAUCCUAUGAUCAUUUUGGUCAAGGGGAUGAAUUAUAUGGAAACUAUAUCUGCAUGGGUUCUAAAGAUGUUGUUCUACACAUUCGACCUAUCCGAUCGUCGGGUACCAUUACUAGAUGGUC
Molecule: long non-coding RNA, 347 nt
Filed under: Elaeis guineensis (African oil palm)
Lineage: Eukaryota; Viridiplantae; Streptophyta; Magnoliopsida; Arecales; Arecaceae
Description: long non-coding RNA (EGUI_LNC071345)
Source: RNAcentral